UGUUCCUUUGGGGCUCUUGUGACCUCCCUGUC
RNAcentral lists this non-coding RNA (32 nucleotides) under Mus musculus (house mouse). Lineage: Eukaryota; Metazoa; Chordata; Mammalia; Rodentia; Muridae. The record is from RNAcentral.